UCACUCUCAAUCUUUUUUUGGAACUCGGUCAAGACUUCAUUUUUAUUACCUCAUUAGAGUGUGGAUCAUCCUAACUAAAACUGUGAGCUUUGUGAAAGCACACAUCCCAUCUGUCUGGAUCACUGUUGUUCAAUGUCUGCAUCAUCUAUCGCUGUUCAUCAAUGCUAGCACAGCAACUGCAUCAUGGAAGACACCAAUGCUUGCUGACAGAAUUAAUGGAUUCACUAUUCGGAGCCCCCAAUUUGCCAUUUGUUACUUGUUGUGAAAAUCAAAUGGGAUCUUUGUGAAAAUACUUUGUAAACUAUAAAGUUCUGUAAAUCUUAGCAUCCAAAUGAGGGAGACACUGUUACUUCCCCCUUUUUACAGAUAAGAAAAGUUUAAAUGGCUUAAAAAAAGAAAGUAUAAAGAAUUUAAAUGAUUUGUCAAGGGCCACACAGGCAGUAAGUUGGCCAAAAUCAGACUACAACCCAGGCCAGUUGUGAUUGUGAAGACCAGAGACAAGAAACUAUAAGUCUGUUUUUACCCAUGUUUUGUAAUGGGGAAAACCAGAAGAGAGAGGCUGGUCCUAAGAAUUGAGAUCAACUAGGGUAGGCUAGGAAGGAGGAUUGGCCUUGGCUUCUCUUCUAGAAUCUUAGAAAAUUAGGACUAAGGGCCAUCAGCCUAUCUAUUUGGUAAUGUUUGUUUGUGUCAGGCACUUUGAAUGUUUUCUGUGUCAGGCACUAUGCCAAGCAUGCCAAGCACUUUACAUGAACUAACUUCUUUUAUCCUUGUAGCUCUAGGAAGUAUAUAUUGAUAAUCAGAUCAGAAAACUAAAGCACAGAAAGGUUAGGACACUUGCUGAAGGUCACACAGUUGUGUGGUGGAACUGGGUUUGGAAUUCAGAAUCAGAGCUCCUAACUCCAAUGCUAUAAUGCAUAGGCCCUGGAGCUUGACAUGAGAUUAGCGAUAAGGUCCUGACACUUAUCUGCUAUAUGAGUUUGAGUAAAUUACUUAAUCUCUCCAAACCUCAGCCCCCUUAUAUGUAAAAUAGUAGUGGUAAUAAGCAGUCACAAGGUGGUGGUAAGGAUAAAUUAGAUGAUUCUUGUGGAGACUAUAACACAGUGGCAUACCAAGUCCUGAGCAAAUGUUUCCCCCACCUCAUCAUCACCCCUAACCAAAUAACUCAAGCAGUGUGGGUACUUUUAACAAUGAUGAUUUAUUGAAAGAAGUGACUCUUUUUCCUUCCCCACCACAUGUAAUCUCCAUCCACAGGUCCCCAUUUUCAUCUGUCUUCCAGGGCAAGGAGUUCCAGUCACAUCUUUGAAGAUAGGAAGUGAUGAGAAAUUAUUAGAGAAGGAUGACCCUUAAGAUAAAUCUUCAUCUGAAAAAUGGACAAAAAAAAUUAUGCAUGAGACCUGCUGUUUUUGUGACCUAGGUUUGCAGACUGCAAUUGAGAGGUGACAGUUCCCAGUUCUGGGAAUCAAUAAGCACUUGAAAAGAGCGAGCAAGGCUAAAAGCAUCCCAAGGAUUGUGGGUGGAUUGGACAAAUAGUAACUUCUGAACACAAAUGGCUUACUUCUGAAGUUUAUGUUGAUUCUGUUGUGUUAGUUAGUACGUUAAUUAAUAAAUACAACCUAAUUUAUAAUCAA
Herpailurus yagouaroundi (jaguarundi) is the source of this 1628-nucleotide long non-coding RNA. RefSeq lists it as uncharacterized. Lineage: Eukaryota; Metazoa; Chordata; Mammalia; Carnivora; Felidae. The record is from RefSeq and is a predicted model, not a curated record. The transcript has 2 exons.